UGGGGAAUCUUCCGCAAUGGACGAAAGUCUGACGGAGCAACGCCGCGUGAACGAUGAAGGUCUUCGGAUUGUAAAGUUCUGUGAUCCGGGACGAAGGCAUCAAUUGAGAACAUUGAUUGAUGUUGACGGUACCGGAAAAGCAAGCCACGGCUAACUACGUGCCAGCAGCCGCGGUAAUACGUAGGUGGCAAGCGUUGUCCGGAAUUAUUGGGCGUAAAGCGCGCGCAGGCGGCCGUGCAAGUCCAUCUUAAAAGCGUGGGGCUUAACCCCAUGAGGGGAUGGAAACUGCAGGGCUGGAGUGUCGGAGGGGAAAGUGGAAUUCCUAGUGUAGCGGUGAAAUGCGUAGAGAUUAGGAAGAACACCGGUGGCGAAGGCGACUUUCUAGACGACAACUGACGCUGAGGCGCGAAAGCGUGGGGAGCAAACAG
RNAcentral lists this ribosomal RNA (428 nucleotides) under uncultured bacterium. RNAcentral describes it as "bacterial SSU rRNA". It matches the Rfam family "Bacterial small subunit ribosomal RNA", at positions 355 to 775 of the family's 1533-position model. The record is from RNAcentral.